Molecule: ribosomal RNA, 266 nt
Filed under: uncultured Staphylococcus sp.
Lineage: Bacteria; Bacillati; Bacillota; Bacilli; Caryophanales; Staphylococcaceae
Description: partial 16S ribosomal RNA
Rfam family: Bacterial small subunit ribosomal RNA
Source: RNAcentral
CGGCGGACGGGUGAGUAACACGUGGAUAACUUACCUAUAAGACUGGGAUAACUUCGGGAAACCGGAGCUAAUACCGGAUAAUAUAUUGAACCGCAUGGUUCAAUAGUGAAAGACGGUUUUGCUGUCACUUAUAGAUGGAUCCGCGCCGCAUUAGCUAGUUGGUAAGGUAACGGCUUACCAAGGCAACGAUGCGUAGCCGACCUGAGAGGGUGAUCGGCCACACUGGAACUGAGACACGGUCCAGACUCCUACGGGAGGCAGCAGAC